GAUGAAGAACGCAGCGAAAUGCGAUAAGUAAUGUGAAUUGCAGAACUCAGUGAAUCAUCGAAUCUUUGAACGCACAUUGCGCCCCUUGGUAUUCCGAGGGGCAUGCCUGUUCGAGCGUCAUUAUAACCCUCAAGCUCAGCUUGGUGUUGGGGCCUGCUGCACUGGCAGCCCUUAAAAUCAGUGGCGGCGCCAUCUGGCUCUAAGCGUAGUAAUUCUUCUCGCUAUGGAGUCCUGGUGGAUGCUUGCCAUCAACCCCCAAUUUUUCUAUGGUUGACCUCGGAUCAGGUAGGGAUACCCGCUGAACUUAAGCAUAUCAAUUAAGCGGAGGA
This 329-nucleotide unclassified non-coding RNA is filed under the name soil metagenome. Its description in RNAcentral is "partial contains 5.8S ribosomal RNA, internal transcribed spacer 2, and large subunit ribosomal RNA". The stretch from base 1 to 120 matches the Rfam family "5.8S ribosomal RNA", at positions 35 to 154 of the family's 154-position model. The record is from RNAcentral.